UACGUAGGUGGCAAGCGUUGUCCGGAAUUAUUGGGCGUAAAGCGCGCGCAGGUGGUUUCUUAAGUCUGAUGUGAAAGCCCACGGCUCAACCGUGGAGGGUCAUUGGAAACUGGGGAACUUGGGUGCAGAAGAGGAAAGUGGAAUUCCAAGUGUAGCGGUGAAAUGCGUAGAGAUUUGGAGGAACACCAGUGGCGAAGGCGACUUUCUGGUCUGUAACUGACACUGAGGCGCGAAAGCGUGGGGAGCGAACAGG
RNAcentral lists this ribosomal RNA (253 nucleotides) under uncultured bacterium. Its description in RNAcentral is "partial 16S ribosomal RNA". It matches the Rfam family "Bacterial small subunit ribosomal RNA", at positions 524 to 776 of the family's 1533-position model. The record is from RNAcentral.